UACAGAGGGGGCAAGCGUUGUUCGGAAUUACUGGGCGUAAAGGGCUCGUAGGCGGCCAACUAAGUCGGACGUGAAAUCCCUCAGCUUAACUGGGGAACUGCGUCCGAUACUGGAUGGCUUGGAUUUGGGAGAGGGAUGCGGAAUUCCAGGUGUAGCGGUGAAAUGCGUAGAUAUCUGGAGGAACACCGGUGGCGAAGGCGGCAUCCUGGACCAAUAUUGACGCUGAGGAGCGAAAGCCAGGGGAGCAAACGGG
RNAcentral lists this ribosomal RNA (253 nucleotides) under uncultured bacterium. Its description in RNAcentral is "partial 16S ribosomal RNA". It matches the Rfam family "Bacterial small subunit ribosomal RNA", at positions 524 to 776 of the family's 1533-position model. The record is from RNAcentral.